This 560-nucleotide ribosomal RNA is filed under the name uncultured bacterium. RNAcentral's name for it is "partial 16S ribosomal RNA". It matches the Rfam family "Bacterial small subunit ribosomal RNA", at positions 355 to 907 of the family's 1533-position model. The record is from RNAcentral.
UGGGGAAUUUUGGACAAUGGGGGAAACCCUGAUCCAGCCAUCCCGCGUGUGCGAUGAAGGCCUUCGGGUUGUAAAGCACUUUUGGCAGGAAAGAAACGUCGCGGGUUAAUACCCCGCGAAACUGACGGUACCUGCAGAAUAAGCACCGGCUAACUACGUGCCAGCAGCCGCGGUAAUACGUAGGGUGCAAGCGUUAAUCGGAAUUACUGGGCGUAAAGCGUGCGCAGGCGGUUCGGAAAGAAAGAUGUGAAAUCCCAGAGCUUAACUUUGGAACUGCAUUUUUAACUACCGGGCUAGAGUGUGUCAGAGGGAGGUGGAAUUCCGCGUGUAGCAGUGAAAUGCGUAGAUAUGCGGAGGAACACCGAUGGCGAAGGCAGCCUCCUGGGAUAACACUGACGCUCAUGCACGAAAGCGUGGGGAGCAAACAGGAUUAGAUACCCUGGUAGUCCACGCCCUAAACGAUGUCAACUAGCUGUUGGGGCCUUCGGGCCUUGGUAGCGCAGCUAACGCGUGAAGUUGACCGCCUGGGGAGUACGGUCGCAAGAUUAAAAACUCAAAGG